Molecule: ribosomal RNA, 705 nt
Filed under: uncultured bacterium
Lineage: Bacteria
Description: bacterial SSU rRNA
Rfam family: Bacterial small subunit ribosomal RNA
Source: RNAcentral
AGGGUUUGAUUAUGGCUCAGAUUGAACGCUGGCGGCAGGCUUAACACAUGCAAGUCGAGCGGUAGCACAGGGGAGCUUGCUCCCUGGGUGACGAGCGGCGGACGGGUGAGUAAUGUCUGGGAAACUGCCUGAUGGAGGGGGAUAACUACUGGAAACGGUAGCUAAUACCGCAUAACGUCGCAAGACCAAAGAGGGGGACCUUCGGGCCUCUUGCCAUCAGAUGUGCCCAGAUGGGAUUAGCUAGUAGGUGGGGUAAUGGCCCACCUAGGCGACGAUCCCUAGCUGGUCUGAGAGGAUGACCAGCCACACUGGAACUGAGACACGGUCCAGACUCCUACGGGAGGCAGCAGUGGGGAAUAUUGCACAAUGGGCGCAAGCCUGAUGCAGCCAUGCCGCGUGUGUGAAGAAGGCCUUCGGGUUGUAAAGCACUUUCAGCGAGGAGGAAGGUGGUGAGCUUAAUACGCUCAUCAAUUGACGUUACUCGCAGAAGAAGCACCGGCUAACUCCGUGCCAGCAGCCGCGGUAAUACGGAGGGUGCAAGCGUUAAUCGGAAUUACUGGGCGUAAAGCGCACGCAGGCGGUUUGUUAAGUCAGAUGUGAAAUCCCCGGGCUCAACCUGGGAACUGCAUUUGAAACUGGCAAGCUAGAGUCUCGUAGAGGGGGGUAGAAUUCCAGGUGUAGCGGUGAAAUGCGUAGAGAUCUGGA